GACGAACGCUGGCGGCGUGCUUAACACAUGCAGGUCGAACGAUGAAGAAGAGAAACGCGAACUUCGGUUCAAAUUUCACCUCGGAUUAGUGGCAGACGGGUGAGUAACGCGUGAGCAACCUACCUCUUACAAAGGGAUAGCCUCGGGAAACCGUGAUUAAUACCAUAUGACACAUUCAUAAGGCAUCUUAAGAAUGUUAAAGCUACGGCGGUAAGAGAUGGGCUCGCGUCCCAUUAGCUAGUUGGUGAGGUAACGGCCCACCAAGGCGACGAUGGGUAACCGGCCUGAGAGGGUGAACGGUCACAUUGGAACUGAGACACGGUCCAAACUCCUACGGGAGGCAGCAGUGGGGAAUAUUGCACAAUGGAGGGAACUCUGAUGCAGCGACGCCGCGUGAGCGAUGAAGGAAUUCGUUUCGUAAAGCUCUGUUCUAUGGGAAGAAAAGGACUGUACCAUAGGAGAAAGCCCCGGCUAAAUACGUG
This 482-nucleotide ribosomal RNA is filed under the name uncultured bacterium. RNAcentral's name for it is "partial 16S ribosomal RNA". It matches the Rfam family "Bacterial small subunit ribosomal RNA", at positions 28 to 507 of the family's 1533-position model. The record is from RNAcentral.